CCAUCAUUUAAAGAAAGCGUAAUAGCUCACUGGUCGAGUCGGCCUGCGCGGAAGAUGUAACGGGGCUAAACCAUGCACCGAAGCUGCGGCAGCGACGCUUAUGCGUUGUUGGGUAGGGGAGCGUUCUGUAAGCCUGUGAAGGUGUGCUGUGAGGCAUGCUGGAGGUAUCAGAAGUGCGAAUGCUGACAUAAGUAACGAUAAAGCGGGUGAAAAGCCCGCUCGCCGGAAGACCAAGGGUUCCUGUCCAACGUUAAUCGGGGCAGGGUGAGUCGACCCCUAAGGCGAGGCCGAAAGGCGUAGUCGAUGGGAAACAGGUUAAUAUUCCUGUACUUGGUGUUACUGCGAAGGGGGGACGGAGAAGGCUAUGUUGGCCGGGCGACGGUUGUCCCGGUUUAAGCGUGUAGGCUGGUUUUCCAGGCAAAUCCGGAAAAUCAAGGCUGAGGCGUGAUGACGAGGCACUACGGUGCUGAAGCAACAAAUGCCCUGCUUCCAGGAAAAGCCUCUAAGCAUCAGGUAACAUCAAAUCGUACCC
Molecule: ribosomal RNA, 532 nt
Filed under: Escherichia coli
Lineage: Bacteria; Pseudomonadati; Pseudomonadota; Gammaproteobacteria; Enterobacterales; Enterobacteriaceae
Description: partial 23S ribosomal RNA
Rfam family: Bacterial large subunit ribosomal RNA
Source: RNAcentral